RNAcentral lists this ribosomal RNA (438 nucleotides) under uncultured Caryophanales bacterium. Its description in RNAcentral is "bacterial SSU rRNA". It matches the Rfam family "Bacterial small subunit ribosomal RNA", at positions 477 to 913 of the family's 1533-position model. Lineage: Bacteria; Bacillati; Bacillota; Bacilli; Caryophanales. The record is from RNAcentral.
UUCUAUUUACAUUACCACGGCCUAUCAUGCCUCCUCAACCGCGUUUAUUCGUUGGUGCUAAGCGUUGUCCGUUUUUAUUGGUUAUUGUCCGCGCGCCGGUGUUUUCUUAAGUCUGAUGUGAAAGCCCCCGGCUCAACCGGGGAGGGCCAUUGGAAACUGGGAAACUUGAUUGCAGAAGAGGAUAGUGGAAUUCCAAGUGUAGCGGCGAAAUGCGUAGAGAUUUGGAGGAACAUUUUAGGCGAAGGCGACUGUCUGGUCUGUAACUGACACUGAGGCGCGAAAGCGUGGGGAGCAAACAGGAUUAGAUACCCUGGUAGUCCACGCCGUAAACGAUGAGUGCUAACUGUUAGGGGGUUUCCGCCCCUUACUGCUGCAGCUAACGCAUUAAGCACUCCCCCUGGGGAGUACAACCGCAAGGUUGAAACUCAAAGGAAUUGA